AUUGAACGCUGGCGGCAUGCCUUACACAUGCAAGUCGAACGGCAGCACGGGUGCUUGCACCUGGUGGCGAGUGGCGAACGGGUGAGUAAUACAUCGGAACGUACCUUAUCGUGGGGGAUAACGCAGCGAAAGUUGCGCUAAUACCGCAUACGCCCUGAGGGGGAAAGCGGGGGACCGUAAGGCCUCGCGCGAUUAGAGCGGCCGAUGUCUGAUUAGCUUGUUGGUGAGGUAAGAGCUCACCAAGGCGAUGAUCAGUAGCUGGUCUGAGAGGACGAUCAGCCACACUGGGACUGAGACACGGCCCAGACUCCUUCGGGAGGCAGCAGUGGGGAAUUUUGGACAAUGGGGGCAACCCUGAUCCAGCAAUGCCGCGUGAGUGAAGAAGGCCUUCGGGUUGUAAAGCUCUUUUGUCAGGGAAGAAACAGCAGCUCUAACACAGUCUGCGAAUGACGGUACCUGAAGAAUAAGCACCGGCUAACUACGUG
RNAcentral lists this ribosomal RNA (485 nucleotides) under uncultured bacterium. Its description in RNAcentral is "partial 16S ribosomal RNA". It matches the Rfam family "Bacterial small subunit ribosomal RNA", at positions 30 to 507 of the family's 1533-position model. The record is from RNAcentral.